UGUGUGUUAGUGGAAGCGUCUGGAAAGGCGCGCGAUACAGGGUGACAGCCCCGUACACAAAAAUGCACAUGCUGUGAGCUCGAUGAGUAGGGCGGGACACGUGGUAUCCUGUCUGAAUAUGGGGGGACCAUCCUCCAAGGCUAAAUACUCCUGACUGACCGAUAGUGAACCAGUACCGUGAGGGAAAGGCGAAAAGAACCCCGGCGAGGGGAGUGAAAAAGAACCUGAAACCGUGUACGUACAAGCAGUGGGAGCCUCUUUUAUGGGGUGACUGCGUACCUUUUGUAUAAUGGGUCAGCGACUUAUAUUCUGUAGCAAGGUUAACCGAAUAGGGGAGCCGAAGGGAAACCGAGUCUUAACUGGGCGUUAAGUUGCAGGGUAUAGACCCGAAACCCGGUGAUCUAGCCAUGGGCAGGUUGAAGGUUGGGUAACACUAACUGGAGGACCGAACCGACUAAUGUUGAAAAAUUAGCGGAUGACUUGUGGCUGGGGGUGAAAGGCCAAUCAAACCGGGAGAUAGCUGGUUCUCCCCGAAAGCUAUUUAGGU
RNAcentral lists this ribosomal RNA (547 nucleotides) under Escherichia coli. Its description in RNAcentral is "partial 23S ribosomal RNA". It matches the Rfam family "Bacterial large subunit ribosomal RNA", at positions 323 to 875 of the family's 2925-position model. Lineage: Bacteria; Pseudomonadati; Pseudomonadota; Gammaproteobacteria; Enterobacterales; Enterobacteriaceae. The record is from RNAcentral.